Molecule: small nuclear RNA, 157 nt
Organism: Leptinotarsa decemlineata (Colorado potato beetle)
Lineage: Eukaryota; Metazoa; Arthropoda; Insecta; Coleoptera; Chrysomelidae
Source: RefSeq, a predicted model, not a curated record
AUACUUACCCGGUAUAGAGAUCAACCGUGAUCAACAAGGCGAUUCCCUCAGGACCUCCAUUGCAAUUCGGUUGGGCUGACAUCUGCGAUUAUCUCUAAUGCAGAUAUCUUGAGCGCGUAAUUAUUGGUAGUCGGGACUGCGUACGGCGCUGUACUAA